UAUUAAAAUUUUUAUCUAUUUGUAUUGUUAAAAAUUGACAUAGUUGGCGAAAUAAUCAGGAAGUGACAUGUAGUGUGUCACGUGUACCUCAUGCUGGUGUAUAAUGACCAAUUUUUAACAGAAGGAUUUGUUUGUUAUUUGAUCU
This is a non-coding RNA of Gossypium raimondii (Peruvian cotton), 145 nucleotides long. The record is from Rfam. Lineage: Eukaryota; Viridiplantae; Streptophyta; Magnoliopsida; Malvales; Malvaceae.